ACCAUCACACUCAACCUAACACUAGAGCUCACUAAUCCACCAUGCAAAGCUCCGUGAAAAACCAAAAUAAAAGUCUACUUAUAUUCAUUUAUAGUUUAUCGUUUUCAACUUUGCAAACGAAAGCAAGAUUAAUACAAAUUAUUUGAAAACGUAAUGUUCAACUGAAUGGCUUUUUUGUUUUUUAAAAACAAUCCGAACAUACCCUAAAAUUUCAAUAAUUAUUGCACAACAUUAGUGGUAUAAUUAUGAUUCAUGACUGAAUCCUUUUUCAGCUAAGACAGCUUCCUUGAUGAGCUGAAAAGAAUUUAGAAAAUCAUCACAGAGCUGAUGAGGAUCAGGAACUAUGCUUUCGUCAACUGAUAGGAUUAUUUUCAUCUUCUUCACAUAACUCAUUAUAUGAAUCAUUAGUCCACAUUGUUGCCCAUAUAUAGUAGGAGCUAUGAAAGCCACUGGGUGGCCAUGGUAAGAGAUUUCUUCUUGAGGACCAGGCAUAUUUGAGAAGCCCAAUGUUGUCUGUGAAGGCAUGUUUGCAAUCUUAAGGGCAAUGAAUUUGGAACAAAACUUGGACAUGAAAUGUACGAAUUUAGCUUCAAAAGAAGCUUUCUUCCUCUCCACGGCAACCUUGGCUUCACGAACAUAUUCCAAUGGAUCAUCUCUUAGGGCAAUUUUGAAGGGGAAGAGAACAAGCCCUAUUUUAUUGCCCUUCGUAUUUCUGCUUAUUAUAUCAUCAGAUGCUUGGAUGCUCGAAGAUGAUCUUAUGUUAACAGCAAGAGUUGCUCGAAGACGAAUAUUUCUGGGUAGAUUAUUCUUUUCUUCUGUUGCUUCAUCACCUUUCUUAAUUUCACCAUACUUCCUGUUGAGAUAACGAGACAAACCAGCUUGUGUGACUCCCAUCAUCACAUCAUUGAUGGUAGCGUCUAUAGCAUUCUUCACCAGCUUUACAUCGUCCAGAGAGAUAGUUGUAUGAACAAACCUCCUAGGACCAGGAGUAGAUUCAAAUCCAAAUCGAAAUCCAGGACCUUUAAGAGGCGUUUUGGUGUCCUCCAAGAAGAAAACCGUAGCCAUAAACAUGGCAGCAUCAAUAAUGGUAUUCCAACAAAGCAACAUUAACCACCAUAGCUUGAGCAAGAAUUGCCAGAACCCACCAGAGUUAACAUUCUUGGGAUUCCUUUUCUUUAUAGUUGGAAUGGUUGGAAGUUCCUCAGCUUUGGAUACUUUGCGAGCACAAGAAAGUAACAUGGACAUAAGAGAGAUGCCAUCGCAGAGGGAAUGGUGGACACGGAGAAUGAUAGUGGAUUCAGCUUCUGAGGUUUUAAAGUUGAGGAGAUGGACAUCCCACAAAGGUAUGGACUUAUUGAUUGCGGUUUUGCUGAGGUUAGAGGCGUAAUCUUCUACAAACUUAUCAGGAGACUCCAUCUCCAUGCUUGGAUCAAGCAUCGGAACUAUUACAUGAUUGUCUAUGUUUACUUGUGUUCUAACCCAUCUCAUCUCUCCACCAUUUUUGUCAUCCACAACCAGUAAACUACUGAAAUGAGGAUGUUUAAGGAAAAUAUGAGCCAAGGUGGCUUUAAUAGCAUCUGGAUUAAUAGGGGUCUUAAACCCUACGAACACAAUGACGAAGAUACUCGAGUUCGGCUGGUGAAAAAUGCGAGACAUUGGACUCAAGAGUUGGCCUUCCUCGCCACCUUCUUCCUUUGUUACUCGAAUUGGCUUAAGACCUUCCAUGUGUAGGGUAAGAGAGAAGUGUGUC
This 1750-nucleotide unclassified non-coding RNA is filed under the name Hevea brasiliensis (rubber tree). Lineage: Eukaryota; Viridiplantae; Streptophyta; Magnoliopsida; Malpighiales; Euphorbiaceae. The record is from RNAcentral.